GAAAUGCUAUAAGUAGUGUGAAUUGCAGAAUUCAGUGAAUCAUCGAAUCUUUGAACGCACAUUGCGCCCCUUGGUCUUCCAUGGGGCAUGCCUGUUCGAGCGUCAUUUGUACCCUCAAGCUCUGCUUGGUGUUGGGUGUUUGUCCCGUCUCCGCGCGUGGACUCGCCCCAAAGUGAUUGGCAGCCGGCGUACUGGUCCCGGAGCGCAGCACAUGUCGCGCAAACGAGUGCCUUGGUACGGCGGCGUCCAUAAGCCCCUCUCUCACGCUCUUGACCUCGGAUCAGGUAGGGAUACCCGCUGAACUUAAGC
Molecule: unclassified non-coding RNA, 309 nt
Filed under: plant metagenome
Description: partial contains 5.8S ribosomal RNA, internal transcribed spacer 2, and large subunit ribosomal RNA
Rfam family: 5.8S ribosomal RNA (bases 1-105)
Source: RNAcentral